UGCCUUUUGUGUUGCCCGUUCACUUUGGUCACUAGUGGAUGUGGUGUCAAAAAAGGCAGAAAUAAAACACUUUGCAGCCUUUUCUCUUGCCUUGGGAUUUUUUGUUCCAUUGGCGAGUGUGCUGUAUAAGUAACAAGU
RNAcentral lists this small nucleolar RNA (138 nucleotides) under Phascolarctos cinereus (koala). RNAcentral describes it as "Small nucleolar RNA SNORA13 (ENSPCIG00000010281.2)". It matches the Rfam family "Small nucleolar RNA SNORA13". From Rfam's summary of the family: ACA13 is a member of the H/ACA class of snoRNA that guide the sites of modification of uridines to pseudouridines. Lineage: Eukaryota; Metazoa; Chordata; Mammalia; Diprotodontia; Phascolarctidae. The record is from Rfam by way of RNAcentral.